CGAUGAUCGGCGGUGACUCCGCCACCGCUGGCGGCACCGACGGCGGCGCAGGCAAGGAGGCCAAGGACAUCCAGCGCCUCAUGAUCGGUGCCGCCGGGAAGCAGCCGCCGCAGCUCGGCGGCGGCGGGCCGAAUUGGCUCAACAACGCCGUCCUCCGCCAGCAGGGCCACCAGUACGGCGACGGCAGCUUCCUCCAUCUCCAGACCGCCUCCGACUCGUCCACCUCCCCGGUCGCCGGCGGUCGCCAGUGGCUCCCGCGCACGGCGUUCCGGAGCGCCAGCGACGACGAGGUCCCGG
RNAcentral lists this unclassified non-coding RNA (297 nucleotides) under Hevea brasiliensis (rubber tree). The record is from RNAcentral. Lineage: Eukaryota; Viridiplantae; Streptophyta; Magnoliopsida; Malpighiales; Euphorbiaceae.